CAGCACCCCAAGUGGUCAGGAUGAUUAUUGGGCCUAAAGCAUCCGUAGCCGGCGCUGUAAGUUUUCGGUUAAAUCUGUACGCUCAACGUACAGGCUGCCGGGAAUACUGCAGCGCUAGGGAGUGGGAGAGGUAGACGGUACUCGGUAGGAAGGGGUAAAAUCCUUUGAUCUAUUGAUGACCACCUGUGGCGAAGGCGGUCUACCAGAACACGUCCGACGGUGAGGGACGAAAGCUGGGGGAGCGAACCGGAUUAGAUACCCGAGUAGUCC
Molecule: ribosomal RNA, 270 nt
Filed under: uncultured archaeon
Lineage: Archaea
Description: partial 16S ribosomal RNA
Rfam family: Archaeal small subunit ribosomal RNA
Source: RNAcentral